RNAcentral lists this ribosomal RNA (502 nucleotides) under uncultured bacterium. Its description in RNAcentral is "partial 16S ribosomal RNA". It matches the Rfam family "Bacterial small subunit ribosomal RNA", at positions 29 to 523 of the family's 1533-position model. The record is from RNAcentral.
AUUGAACGCUGGCGGAAUGCUUUACACAUGCAAGUCGAACGGCAGCACGGGUGCUUGCACCUGGUGGCGAGUGGCGAACGGGUGAGUAAUGCACCGGAACGUAUCCAAUAAUGGGGGAUAACGCACCGAAAGGUGUGCUAAUACCGCAUACGCCCUGAGGGGGAAAGCGGGGGAUCGAAAGACCUCGCGUUACUGGAGCGGCCGAUGCCGGAUUAGCUAGUUGGUGGGGGAAAGGCCCACCAAGGCGACGAUCCGUAGCUGGUCGGAGAGGACGACCAGCCGCACUGGAACUGAGACACGGUCCAGACUCAUACGGGAGGCAGCAGUGGGGAAUUUUGGACAAUGGGCGAAAGCCUGAUCCAUCCAUUCCGCGUGAGUGAAGAAGGCCUUCGGGUUGUAAAGCUCUUUCGCAAGGAAAGAAAACUCAUUUCCUAAUACGAGAUGAGGAUGACGGUACCUUGACAAGAAGCACCGGCUAACUACGUGCCAGCAGCCGCCGCAG